This is a long non-coding RNA of Gallus gallus (chicken), 861 nucleotides long. NCBI's taxonomy places the organism in Eukaryota, Metazoa, Chordata, Aves, Galliformes, Phasianidae. The record is from Ensembl.
AAACGGCGGUGUUUGCCCAAGUGGUGAUCUGUUGAGGCAGUGUCUGAGAAGUCCUGGCUGACUUCUAUUGCAGACUGGGGCACAGAGGAAGGUCUGAGGAACAGCUGAGAAAGCAAACAACCAGACGAAGGAUUCACAUGAGUCUUCUUGAAGGCAUCCAAUGUAGUUGGAGGAGAAAAUGCCCUAAAGGCCUGCAUAUAAUGUAGGUAUGAGCUGUCUGCACCUCCCCAAACCAAGAACAUCCUCCCUUUUAUAUUUUUAUAUAUAUAUUUGUGUGUGUGUGACUUAUUUAAGGGAAUAACACUUAUUUCUAACAUGGGCUGGUUAGAAACCAAAUCCCAGCCCCAUCCGUUGGCUCCUUCAACAGAAGAACUCAAUGUGUUUCAAAUCAUGAGCGAGCACCGUCACAGCCUGCUGCCGGAUCUCAUUGAUCACUGGAACAACGAUAGCUCUGGAGUGCCAUCUGCUAUGAACAGGGCAUAGGGAGGCAAAGCUGGCUUGGUUUGGCUCCAUGCGUCUCCUGAACGCCCGCACGCUUCGCAGGCAGAGCUGCCGGAUCUUCAUCUGUGCAUCCCAGCCAGAGCUUCCCAGGUAAGCCGGCCUCAGCCAGAGAGGUGCCUUCAGCAGCACAGCACCUCCUCGUGUUCGCUGAGGAGAGCUGCCGGGACUGCAUCGCUGUCCUUCUCUAUGCUGGUCCUUUUAAGUGUAACAGGAGAGAUUUCCAGCAACUUUCGGUAGGGUAGCAGAAAACAAAUAUGGAAUUGGGCUUAAAAAACAGAUGUGGGAGCAUACUGACCGUGCUCUAAACAACAGCUUCUCUAAGUCUGAGCUGUGUGGUUUUAUUGCUUGUUUGAACGUGGC